UACGUAGGGUGCGAGCGUUAAUCGGAAUUACUGGGCGUAAAGCGUGCGCAGGCGGUUUUGUAAGUCUGUCGUGAAAUCCCCCGGGCUUAACCUGGGAAUUGCGAUGGAGACUGCAAGGCUAGAAUCUGGCAGAGGGGGGUAGAAUUCCACGUGUAGCAGUGAAAUGCGUAGAGAUGUGGAGGAACACCGAUGGCGAAGGCAGCCCCCUGGGUCAAGAUUGACGCUCAUGCACGAAAGCGUGGGGAGCAACAGG
This 253-nucleotide ribosomal RNA is filed under the name uncultured bacterium. Its description in RNAcentral is "partial 16S ribosomal RNA". It matches the Rfam family "Bacterial small subunit ribosomal RNA", at positions 524 to 775 of the family's 1533-position model. The record is from RNAcentral.